UAGGGAAUCUUCCACAAUGGACGCAAGUCUGAUGGAGCAACGCCGCGUGAGUGAAGAAGGUCUUCGGAUCGUAAAGCUCUGUUGUUGGUGAAGAAGGAUAGAGGCAGUAACUGGUCUUUAUUUGACGGUAAUCAACCAGAAAGUCACGGCUAACUACGUGCCAGCAGCCGCGGUAAUACGUAGGUGGCAAGCGUUGUCCGGAUUUAUUGGGCGUAAAGCGAGCGCAGGCGGAAUGAUAAGUCNGAUGUGAAAGCCCACGGCUCACCGUGGAACUGCAUCGGAAACUGUCAUUCUUGAGUGCAGAAGAGGAGAGUGGAACUCCAUGUGUAGCGGUGGAAUGCGUAGAUAUAUGGAAGAACACCAGUGGCGAAGGCGGCUCUCUGGUCUGCAACUGACGCUGAGGCUCGAGGCAUGGGUAGCGAACAGGAUUAGAUACCC
RNAcentral lists this ribosomal RNA (438 nucleotides) under uncultured bacterium. RNAcentral describes it as "partial 16S ribosomal RNA". It matches the Rfam family "Bacterial small subunit ribosomal RNA", at positions 355 to 787 of the family's 1533-position model. The record is from RNAcentral.